AUGAUGGACUAUAGGACAGGACUGCUGCUUUUAACUCUCUGCUGGGCAGGUGUUGAAGGUCAGACUCUGACAGAAUCUGAACCAGCAGUUAAAAAGCCUGGAGAAUCCCACAAACUGACCUGUACAACAUCUGGAUUGUCAUUCAGUAGCUACUGGAUGGCCUGGAUCAGACAGGCUCCUGGAAAAGGACUGGAGUGGAUUGCUGCUGAUGGUGGUGGUAGUAGCAAAUACUACUCUCAGUCAGUUCAAGGCCGGUUCACCAUCUCCAGAGACGACAGCAGAGAGCAGCUGUAUCUGCAGAUGAACAGUCUGAAGACUGAAGAUUCUGCUGUUUAUUAUUGUGCU
Thunnus maccoyii (southern bluefin tuna) is the source of this 345-nucleotide non-coding RNA. The record is from the annotation of a RefSeq genome assembly. Lineage: Eukaryota; Metazoa; Chordata; Actinopteri; Scombriformes; Scombridae.